CCUACGGGAGGCAGCAGUGGGGAAUAUUGCGCAAUGGGCGAAAGCCUGACGCAGCGACGCCGCGUGAGGGAUGAAGGUCUUCGGAUCGGAAACCUCUGUCAGCAGGGAAGAACGGUCACGGGGCUAAGCAGCAGUGAAUGGACGGUACCUGCAAAGGAAGCACCGGCUAACUCCGUGCCAGCAGCCGCGGUAAGACGGAGGGUGCGAGCGUGACUCGGAAUUACUGGGCGUAAAGCGCGCGUAGGCGGUAUGUCAAGUCAAGGGUGAAAUCCCCGCGCUCAACGUGGGAACUGCCUUUGAAACUGUCAAACUGGAGUGUGUGCGAGGCUAGUUGACUUCCCGGUGUAGGCGU
RNAcentral lists this ribosomal RNA (352 nucleotides) under uncultured bacterium. Its description in RNAcentral is "partial 16S ribosomal RNA". It matches the Rfam family "Bacterial small subunit ribosomal RNA", at positions 338 to 682 of the family's 1533-position model. The record is from RNAcentral.